GAUGAACGCUGGCGGCGUGCCUAAUACAUGCAAGUCGAGCGAACAGAUAAGGAGCUUGCUCCUUUGAAGUUAGCGGCGGACGGGUGAGUAACACGUGGGUAACCUACCUAUAAGACUGGGAUAACUUCGGGAAACCGGAGCUAAUCCCGGAUAACAUUUAGAACCGCAUGGUUCUAAAUUGUAAGAUGGUUGUGCUAUCAAUUAUAGAUGUCACCGCGCCGUAUUAGCUAGUUGGUAAGGUAACGGCUUACCAAGGCGACGAUACGUAGCCGACCUGAGAGGGUGAUCGGCCAAACUGGAACUGAGACACGGUCCAGACUCCUACGGGAGGCAGCAGUAGGGAAUCUUCCGCAAUGGGCGAAAGCCUGACGGAGCAACGCCGCGUGAGUGAUGAAGGGUUUCGGCUCGUAAAACUCUGUUAUUAGGGAAGAACAAAUGUGUAAGUAACUGUGCACAUCUUGACGGUACCUAAUCAGAAAGCCACGGCUAACUACGUGCCAGCCGCCGCAGUAA
Molecule: ribosomal RNA, 513 nt
Filed under: uncultured bacterium
Lineage: Bacteria
Description: partial 16S ribosomal RNA
Rfam family: Bacterial small subunit ribosomal RNA
Source: RNAcentral